RNAcentral lists this ribosomal RNA (1096 nucleotides) under uncultured organism. RNAcentral's name for it is "bacterial SSU rRNA". It matches the Rfam family "Bacterial small subunit ribosomal RNA", at positions 348 to 1443 of the family's 1533-position model. The record is from RNAcentral.
GCAGCAGCUAAGAAUCUUCCGCAAUGGGCGAAAGCCUGACGGAGCGAUGCCGCGUGAGUGAAGAAGGCGGGAACGUUGUAAAACUCUUUUCUCGGGGAGGAAUAAGGAGGGGAGGUAAUGCCCCUUUGAUGACGCGAACCGAGGAAUAAGCCCCGGCUAAUUACGUGCCAGCAGCCGCGGUAACACGUAAGGGGCGAGCGUUGUUCGGAAUUAUUGGGCGUAAAGGGCGUGUAGGCGGCGAUGUAAGCCUGGUGUGAAAGACUUCAGCUUAACUGGAGAGCCGCGCUGGGAACUAUGUUGCUUGAGUAUAGGAGGGGGAGCUGGAAUUCCAGGUGUAGGGGUGAAAUCUGUAGAUAUCUGGAAGAACACCGGAGGCGAAGGCGAGCUCCUGGCCAUAUACUGACGCUGAGGCGCGAAAGCGUGGGGAGCGAACAGGAUUAGAUACCCUGGUAGUCCACGCUGUAAACGUUGUGCACUAGGUGUCGGACUUACGGGUUCGGUACCGAAGUUAACGCGAUAAGUGCACCGCAUGGGGAGUAUGCUCGCAAGGGUGAAACUCAAAGGAAUUGACGGGGGCCCGCACAAGCGUUGGAGCAUGUGGUUUAAUUCGAUGAUACGCGAGAAACCUUACCAGGGUUUGACAUAUAGCAGACGGUCGUAGAGAUACGGCUUCCAUUCGGGGCUGUUAUACAGGUGCUGCAUGGCUGUCGUCAGCUCGUGCUGUGAAGUGUUGGGUUAAGUCCCGCAACGAGCGCAACCCCUACUGUCUGUUACCAUCAGUAAGUUGGGGACUCAGACGGUACUGCCGGUGACAAACCGGAGGAAGGUGGGGAUGACGUCAAGUCAUCAUGGCCCUUAUGUCCUGGGCUACACACGUGCUACAAUGGCCGGUACAGAGCGCAGCAAAACCGCGAGGUGGAGCAAAUCGCAGAAAGCCGGUCUCAGUACAGAUUGGAGUCUGAAACUCGACUCCAUGAAGCUGGAAUCGCUAGUAAUCGCACAUCAGCAUGGUGCGGUGAAUACGUUCCCGGGCAUUGUACACACCGCCCGUCACACCACCCGAGUUGGGGGCACCCGAAUCGCUCGUCUAACCGGC